UACGGGGGGGGGCAAGCGUUUGUUCGGAAUUACUGGGCGUAAAGGGCUCGUAGGCGGCCAACUAAGUCAGACGUGAAAUCCCUCGGCUUAACCGGGGAACUGCGUCUGAUACUGGAUGGCUUGAGAUUGGGAGAGGGAUGCGGAAUUCCAGGUGUAGCGGUGAAAUGCGCAGAUAUCAGGAGGAACACCAAUGGCGAAGGCAGCUCGCUGGGACGUGACUGACGCUGGAGACGCGAAAGCGUGGGGAGCAAACAGG
RNAcentral lists this ribosomal RNA (256 nucleotides) under uncultured bacterium. RNAcentral describes it as "partial 16S ribosomal RNA". It matches the Rfam family "Bacterial small subunit ribosomal RNA", at positions 524 to 776 of the family's 1533-position model. The record is from RNAcentral.